GAUCAUGGCUCAGGAUGAACGCUAGCGGUAUGCUUAACACAUGCAAGUCGUACGAGAGUUUUAAUUCAAGUGGCGGACGGGUGAGUAACACGUGAGAAUUUACCUUUAGGAGGGGGAUAACAAUUGGAAACGAUUGCUAAUACCCCAUAUGCUUUCAAGUGAAAUGGAGUUUUUCCGCCUAAAGAAAAAGCUCGCGGCUGAUUAGCUUGUUGGUAAGGUAAUGGCUUACCAAGGCGACGAUCAGUAUCUGGUUUGAGAGGACGAUCAGACACACUGGAACUGAGACACGGUCCAGACUCCUACGGGAGGCAGCAGUGGGGAAUUUUCCGCAAUGGGCGAAAGCCUGAACCGGAGCAAUACCGCGUGAGGGAAGAAGGCCUAUGGGUUGUAAACCUCUUUUUCAGGGAGGAACAAAAUGACGUGUACCUGAAGAAUAAGCAUCGGCUAACUCCGUGCCAGCCGCAGC
Molecule: ribosomal RNA, 466 nt
Filed under: uncultured bacterium
Lineage: Bacteria
Description: bacterial SSU rRNA
Rfam family: Bacterial small subunit ribosomal RNA
Source: RNAcentral